This 295-nucleotide long non-coding RNA is filed under the name Micromonas commoda. Its description in RNAcentral is "long non-coding RNA (MCOM_LNC000239)". The record is from RNAcentral. Lineage: Eukaryota; Viridiplantae; Chlorophyta; Mamiellophyceae; Mamiellales; Mamiellaceae.
UCCUCGGCGGCGUCUCCCGCGGAUCCUACGCGCAGGCGCCGUCGCGCGCCUCCGAGUCCGUCUUCAGCGACGACCUCUCGAGCAAUGGAUCCUACUCCCAGAACGUCGGCCACUUUGGCGCGCACGCCUCUUACCAGGCGCACUCGACCGCCGCGGGCGCCCGCGCGAGCUACCGCAACGGUCGCGCCAACUACGUCGCCAACGCCUCCUCCCUCACCACGUCCGCGUGCUCCCAGGCGGGCAAGGCUGCGGUGAUGGUGUGCAUCGUCGUCGGAGCCGCGUUCCUCGCCUUUGG